UUUUUAGCAUAAGUAUGUCUUACGCAAUGUUCAAGGCAUACUUAUGCUAAAA
Molecule: non-coding RNA, 52 nt
Organism: Macaca mulatta (Rhesus monkey)
Lineage: Eukaryota; Metazoa; Chordata; Mammalia; Primates; Cercopithecidae
Source: Rfam